CUGAGCUUGAUGGGUGUCAGGGUCAGUCCAAGUGAAAGUGGAGAGGCUGGGAUUAAGGGUGCAAAGGAAUAGUAAAGAAAGCAUGUUUGAGAUCUAGAACAGAAUAAUGGGUUUUAGAGGCAGGUAUUGAGGAUAGGAGAGUAUAUGGGUUUGGCACCACGGGGUGGAUAGGCAAAACAAUUUGGGUGAUAAGGUGCAGAUCCUGAACUAACUUGUAACGCUUGUCUGGUUUUAGGACAGGUAAAAUGGGGGAAUUGUAAGGAGAGUUUAUAGGCUUUCAAAGGCCAUGCUGUAGCAGGGGGCUUCUGAGGCGAUCCAGCAGUGUCAGUCUUCAGCAGCUAAGCCAAGAAGAUCUGGGAAGGAGUCAGUCAGACAGCCUUGGGCGAGAGUUCCACGGGCUCUGGGAGUGGCAGCCAGGAACCUGUGACUUCAAGAAGGGGACCCUUUUGGAAGGGAAGCACUGACUGAAGAAGACGUUCCCAUAGUCCUCCAGAAGAGACAAAGAACUCUGGAAACAAGUUUGCCCUCGCUAUCAGCUCACCCUGAACGGAUCCACAGAGUAAUUACGUGGUAUAGAACUAGAUGCCCUCGGCACAAAUUCAAUGUCAUAUAGAGCCCAGAAUGAGUACACUGUCCAUUCAGAUUUUCAGGAAAGGUAAAUUUACAACAGAAUGGAGCCCAUGAGGAAACAGCAAACCAUGUUCUUUAAUUGCCAAGGAUGCAAGCAAACAAGAGGCCCAAGAGAAGAAGACAGUAAUCCAGAAGAAUCCACACAACUCUCCAGAUAGUUUCCACAUCACAUACAUGUCAGUUGCUGAAAAUGCAAGACGCAGUCCCUAGAUGAGGAUUACAAAGAUCUAACGGGAAGAACUGCUGUACAGGAAACAUGGCACCAGUAUCUGCUUGGCUUCCGGCGAGGACACAGGAAGCGUAAAAUCAGAGCUGAAGGUAAAGGGAGAGCCCAACCUCACAAGGCAUGAGUGAGCGCAAGAGAGAGAGUGAGCAGGAGGUGCUACACGGUUUCAAAUGACCAGAACUCACUAUCGCAAGGACAGCGCCAAGCCACGAAGGACCCACUCCCAUGACCCAAACACCUCCCACCAGGCGCCACCUCCAACAUCAGGGAUUACACUUCAACCUGUGAUUCAGGGGACAAAUAUCCAAACAAUAGCAAUUGGCAACUUCAUAUUUAGAAAUUACUGGCAUUAUUAUCAUCUAAAUCUGUUUCACUUCUUGGAAAACCAGAUGUAUUUUACAUAGGGAGAAAAAGUAAUAUGGGAAGUAGAAAUCUCAAUAAAGAAUGGACUUCAGUUAACGUGAAUGUAUCAAUAUUUGUUAACUUUAACAUAUUUGCUAUACUAAUGGGAAUGGUACUGAUAGGAUAAACUGGAUAUGAGGUAUGUGGGAAAUCUCUGUGCUGUCUUCUCACUUUUCUGUAAAUCUAAAACAGUCUAUUAAAAAAUACCAUUGGUGGUGGCUGUACCCCCAACUCAAUCAAUAAAGUCAUUUAAAAAUAUGUAAUAUACAUUGGGAUUUAGCCAUUGUGGUCUUUCUCCAUUAUAAGCCCUCUUACACCAUGCAGAGACAUACUGUACUUGAUCUAUUCUGAAGUGGUUGUUAUCCAGGAUAUGGAGAGAACUUAAAUAAAUUUGUAGGUGGGGAUAUGCCUUCCAAGAAUUUUUGGCCUGGAGGCAAGAGGGGAAAAAUUAAAAGUCUCAUCCCCCUAAAAAAAAAUUGCUAUGCACUUCUUAGUGUCAUUUUGUGAAUUAAAUACAGCUUGUCUGAUUUAAAAAAAAAAUUAACAAUUGAUGUUGAUAUCUAGACUCAUGAAAAAUAUAACAUCGAAAAAUUACUGUAACUAUAAACCUGACAAUUUUGUUUACCUUAAAGAAUGCUAUGGCUGAUAGAAACAAAAAGUGUAACUAGCUAAGUAGAUAUACAAAAUAUUUUAUUUUACCUAUACUUCUGAAUGUCAACUAACAGGUAUUGCUAUAGAUGUUUUUACAAAUGUUUGCCUAAAGAUAUUUUUGUACAUUUUAUAGUUCUCUUUUAUUUGUAACCAAGUAUCUUGUGCUUGUCAGCUCUAUGAUUUGAUUUUUAAAAAUAUAUUAAAUUAUGAAUCCAUAAAUAUGUAGAACAGAAAAAUAUAUUAACUCACUUGAUAUGUGUAGGAAGACAACAUUACUCUUAGUAAGACAAGUGCUUUUUGAUAAAAAAUAGGCAAGUAUUGUGUAAGUGGGAAAGCUUUAAACAAAUAAAUUUAUAGGAAAUUAGAGUUUCCCAAAAGUUGGCAUCAAAGAAUAGAGUUUCAGGGCACUGAACCAGAGGGAAUUUAGAGAACUGAGUUUUGGGUAGAGAGAGAAUCCAGCAAGGUUAUGGCAGGAAAUAAGCACCAUAUCCCCCAUGAGAAACCCCCUGUGUCAAGGAGCACCAGACAGAAUUCUAAGAUAGGACUUCCAAUUUUGAGUCAUGCCCUUUGCUACUCUGUGCAGAACUACGUCUGUGUAAUUAUGAAUUUUCAUUAAAACCCGC
RNAcentral lists this long non-coding RNA (2532 nucleotides) under Homo sapiens (human). RNAcentral describes it as "HSALNT0085104". Lineage: Eukaryota; Metazoa; Chordata; Mammalia; Primates; Hominidae. The record is from RNAcentral.